GGUGCAAAUGAUGUUUUUAAGCGAUCAAAGCAUGAUAGUAUAUGAUUAUGACUAUAUUAUACUGAUGCACC
This is a small nucleolar RNA of Mobula hypostoma (lesser devil ray), 71 nucleotides long. The record is from RefSeq and is a predicted model, not a curated record. Lineage: Eukaryota; Metazoa; Chordata; Chondrichthyes; Myliobatiformes; Myliobatidae.